GACGAACGCUGGCGGCGUGCUUAACACAUGCAAGUCGAACGGAAAGGCCCUGCUUUUGUGGGGUGCUCGAGUGGCGAACGGGUGAGUAACACGUGAGUAACCUGCCCUUGACUUUGGGAUAACUUCAGGAAACUGGGGCUAAUACCGGAUAGGAGCUCCUGCUGCAUGGUGGGGGUUGGAAAGUUUCGGCGGUUGGGGAUGGAUUCGCGGCUUAUCAGCUUGUUGGUGGGGUAGUGGCUUACCAAGGCUUUGACGGGUAGCCGGCCUGAGAGGGUGACCGGCCACAUUGGGACUGAGAUACGGCCCAGACUCCUACGGGAGGCAGCAGUGGGGAAUAUUGCACAAUGGGCGGAAGCCCGAUGCAGCAACGCCGCGUGCGGGAUGACGGCCUUCGGGUUGUAAACCGCUUUCGCCUGUGACGAAGCGUGAGUGACGGUAAUGGGUAAAGAAGCACCGGCUAACUACGU
RNAcentral lists this ribosomal RNA (467 nucleotides) under uncultured bacterium. RNAcentral describes it as "partial 16S ribosomal RNA". It matches the Rfam family "Bacterial small subunit ribosomal RNA", at positions 28 to 506 of the family's 1533-position model. The record is from RNAcentral.